UCUGACUNGAGUGCAGAAGGGGAGAGUGGAAUUCCAUGUGUAGCGGUGAAAUGCGUAGAUAUAUGGAGGAACACCAGUGGCGAAAGCGGCUCUCUGGUCUGUCACUGACGCUGAGGCUCGAAAGCGUGGGUAGCGAACAGGAUUAGAUACCCUGGUAGUNCACGCCGUAAACGAUGAGUGCUAGGUGUUAGGCCCUUUCCGGGGCUUAGUGCCGGAGCUAACGCAAUAAGCACUCCGCCUGGGGAGCACGACCGCAAGGUUGAAACUCAAAGGAAUUGACGGGGGCCCGCACAAGCGGUGGAGCAUGUGGUUUAAUUCGAAGCAACGCGAAGAACCUUACCAGGUCUUGACAUCCCGAUGCUAUUCUUAGAGAUAGGAAGUUACUUCGGUACAUCGGAGACAGGUGGUGCAUGGUUGUCGUCAGCUCGUGUCGUGAGAUGUUGGGUUAAGUCCCGCAACGAGCGCAACCCUUAUUGUUAGUUGCCAUCAUUAAGUUGGGCACUCUAGCGAGACUGCCGGUAAUAAACCGGAGGAAGGUGGGGAUGACGUCAAAUCAUCAUGCCCCUUAUGACCUGGGCUACACACGUGCUACAAUGGUCGGUACAACGAGUUGCGAGCCGGUGACGGCAAGCUAAUCUCUGAAAGCCGAUCUCAGUUCGGAUUGGAGGCUGCAACUCGCCUCCAUGAAGUCGGAAUCGCUAGUAAUCGCGGAUCAGCACGCCGCGGUGAAUACGUUCCCGGGCCUUGUACACACCGCCCGUCACACCACGAGAGUUUGUAACACCCGAAGUCGGUGAGGUAACCUUUUAGGGGCCAGCCGCC
This 822-nucleotide ribosomal RNA is filed under the name uncultured bacterium. Its description in RNAcentral is "bacterial SSU rRNA". It matches the Rfam family "Bacterial small subunit ribosomal RNA", at positions 636 to 1457 of the family's 1533-position model. The record is from RNAcentral.